RNAcentral lists this ribosomal RNA (799 nucleotides) under uncultured bacterium. RNAcentral describes it as "bacterial SSU rRNA". It matches the Rfam family "Bacterial small subunit ribosomal RNA", at positions 60 to 826 of the family's 1533-position model. The record is from RNAcentral.
AGUCGAGCGAGCUUGCCUAUUGAAAUUCUUCGGAAUGGACAUAGAUACAAGCUAGCGGCGGAUGGGUGAGUAACGCGUGGGUAACCUGCCCUUAAGUCUGGGAUACCAUUUGGAAACAGAUGCUAAUACCGGAUAAAAGCUACUUUCGCAUGAAAGAAGUUUAAAAGGCGGCGUAAGCUGUCGCUAAAGGAUGGACCUGCGAUGCAUUAGCUAGUUGGUAAGGUAACGGCUUACCAAGGCGAUGAUGCAUAGCCGAGUUGAGAGACUGAUCGGCCACAUUGGGACUGAGACACGGCCCAAACUCCUACGGGAGGCAGCAGUAGGGAAUCUUCCACAAUGGACGCAAGUCUGAUGGAGCAACGCCGCGUGAGUGAAGAAGGUUUUCGGAUCGUAAAGCUCUGUUGUUGGUGAAGAAGGAUAGAGGUAGUAACUGGCCUUUAUUUGACGGUAAUCAACCAGAAAGUCACGGCUAACUACGUGCCAGCAGCCGCGGUAAUACGUAGGUGGCAAGCGUUGUCCGGAUUUAUUGGGCGUAAAGCGAGCGCAGGCGGAUUGAUAAGUCUGAUGUGAAAGCCUUCGGCUCAACCGAAGAACUGCAUCAGAAACUGUCAAUCUUGAGUGCAGAAGAGGAGAGUGGAACUCCAUGUGUAGCGGUGGAAUGCGUAGAUAUAUGGAAGAACACCAGUGGCGAAGGCGGCUCUCUGGUCUGUAACUGACGCUGAGGCUCGAAAGCAUGGGUAGCGAACAGGAUUAGAUACCCUGGUAGUCCAUGCCGUAAACGAUGAGUGCUAAGUGUUGG